GGAGAGAUGCCAGAGUGGACGAAUGGGGCGGUCUCGAAAACCGUUGUUCCCGCAAGGGGACCCUGGGUUCGAAUCCCAGUCUCUCCGCCA
Molecule: transfer RNA, 90 nt
Filed under: Candidatus Omnitrophota bacterium
Lineage: Bacteria; Pseudomonadati; Candidatus Omnitrophota
Description: Candidatus Omnitrophica bacterium tRNA-Ser
Rfam family: tRNA
About the family: Transfer RNA (tRNA) molecules are approximately 80 nucleotides in length. Their secondary structure includes four short double-helical elements and three loops (D, anti-codon, and T loops).
Source: RNAcentral